Molecule: ribosomal RNA, 497 nt
Filed under: uncultured bacterium
Lineage: Bacteria
Description: partial 16S ribosomal RNA
Rfam family: Bacterial small subunit ribosomal RNA
Source: RNAcentral
GACGAACGCUGGCGGCGUGCCUAAUACAUGCAAGUUGAGCGAUGAAGAUUGGUGCUUGCACCAAUUUGAAGAGCAGCGAACGGGUGAGUAACGCGUGGGGAAUCUGCCUUUGAGCGGGGGACAACGUUUGGAAACGAAUGCUAAUACCGCAUAACAACUUUAAACAUAAGUUUUAAGUUUGAAAGAUGCAAUUGCAUCACUCAAAGAUGAUCCCGCGUUGUAUUAGCUAGUUGGUGAGGUAAAGGCUCACCAAGGCGAUGAUACAUAGCCGACCUGAGAGGGUGAUCGGCCACAUUGGGACUGAGACACGGCCCAAACUCCUACGGGAGGCAGCAGUAGGGAAUCUUCGGCAAUGGACGAAAGUCUGACCGAGCAACGCCGCGUGAGUGAAGAAGGUUUUCGGAUCGUAAAACUCUGUUGGUAGAGAAGAACGUUGGUGAGAGUGGAAAGCUCAUCAAGUGACGGUAACUACCCAGAAAGGGACGGCUAACUACGUG